GGGGAAUUUUCCGCAAUGGGCGAAAGCCUGACGGCGCAAUACCGCGUGUGGGAUGACGGCCUAUGGGUUGUAAACCUCUUUUUUCAGGGAGGAAACAAAUGACGUUACCUGAAGAAUAAGCAUCGGCUAACUCCGUGCCAGCAGCCGCGGUAAGACGGAGGAUGCAAGUGUUAUCCGGAAUCACUGGGCGUAAAGCGUCUGUAGGUGGUUGAAUAAGUCAACUGUUAAAUCUUGAGGCUCAACCUCAAAACCGCAGUCGAAACUAUUCGACUAGAGUAUAGUAGGGGUAAAGGGAAUUUCCAGUGGAGCGGUGAAAUGCGUAGAGAUUGGAAAGAACACCGAUGGCGAAGGCACUUUACUGGGCUAUUACUAACACUGAGAGACGAAAGCUAGGGUAGCAAAUGGGAUUAGAUACCCCAGUAGUC
RNAcentral lists this ribosomal RNA (425 nucleotides) under uncultured cyanobacterium. RNAcentral describes it as "bacterial SSU rRNA". It matches the Rfam family "Bacterial small subunit ribosomal RNA", at positions 356 to 795 of the family's 1533-position model. The record is from RNAcentral. Lineage: Bacteria; Bacillati; Cyanobacteriota.